RNAcentral lists this small nucleolar RNA (138 nucleotides) under Ornithorhynchus anatinus (platypus). The record is from RNAcentral. Lineage: Eukaryota; Metazoa; Chordata; Mammalia; Monotremata; Ornithorhynchidae.
CCCUUCUCAGGGUCGCACCUGGAGAGUUUCCAGUCCUCUACCAGUCUCGGCUACAGGAGGGAGAGUCAAGCAGAGGUCUGUCCAUUCCAUUCCUAGCUUGGCCGGCAGCUAGCGAGUGGAAGGCCAUCUGCUUCAAAU